RNAcentral lists this ribosomal RNA (600 nucleotides) under uncultured bacterium. Its description in RNAcentral is "bacterial SSU rRNA". It matches the Rfam family "Bacterial small subunit ribosomal RNA", at positions 45 to 676 of the family's 1533-position model. The record is from RNAcentral.
UGGCCUAACACAUGCAAGUCGAACGAAGGCCCUAGCUUGCUAGGUCACCUUAGUGGCGGACGGGUGAGUAACGCGUGGGAACCUGCCCUGGAGUGGGGAACAACAGUUGGAAACGACUGCUAAUACCGCAUAAUCCCUGAGGGGGAAAGGCUUCGGCCGCUCCUGGAUGGUCCCGCGUUAGAUUAGCUAGUUGGUAGGGUAAUGGCCUACCAAGGCGACGAUCUAUAGCUGGUUUGAGAGGAUGAUCAGCCACACUGGGACUGAGACACGGCCCAGACUCCUACGGGAGGCAGCAGUGGGGAAUAUUGGACAAUGGGGGAAACCCUGAUCCAGCAAUGCCGCGUGAGUGAAGAAGGCCUCAGGGUUGUAAAGCUCUUUCAACUGUGAAGAUGAUGACGGUAGCAGUAGAAGAAGCCCCGGCUAACUCCGUGCCAGCAGCCGCGGUAAUACGGAGGGGGCUAGCGUUAUUCGGAAUUACUGGGCGUAAAGCGCACGUAGGCGGCGUAUCAAGUUAGAGGUGAAAGGCCUGGGCUCAACCCGGGAAUUGCCUUUAAGACUGAUAUGCUUGAGUUCGGAAGAGGGUAGUGGAAUUCCAAGUGU